Molecule: ribosomal RNA, 497 nt
Filed under: uncultured bacterium
Lineage: Bacteria
Description: partial 16S ribosomal RNA
Rfam family: Bacterial small subunit ribosomal RNA
Source: RNAcentral
GAUGAACGCUGGCGGCGUGCCUAAUACAUGCCAGUCGAGCGAACGGACGAGAAGCUUGCUUCUCUGAUGUUAGCGGCGGACGGGUGAGUAACACGUGGAUAACCUACCUAUAAGACUGGGAUAACUUCGGGAAACCGGAGCUAAUACCGGAUGAUAUUUUGAACCGCAUGGUUCAAAAGUGAAAGACGGUCUUGCUGUCACUUAUAGAUGGGUCCGCGCUGCAUUAGCUAGUUGGUAAGGUAACGGCUUACCAAGGCAACGAUGCAUAGCCGACCUGAGAGGGUGAUCGGCCACACUGGAACUGAGACACGGUCCAGACUCCUACGGGAGGCAGCAGUAGGGAAUCUUCCGCAAUGGGCGAAAGCCUGACGGAGCAACGCCGCGUGAGUGAUGAAGGUCUUCGGAUCGUAAAACUCUGUUAUUAGGGAAGAACAUAUGUGUAAGUAACUGUGCACAUCUUGACGGUACCUAAUCAGAAAGCCACGGCUAACUACGUG